UUACAGAGGCCUCGUUUACCGAGAUCUCUCAAACGGAAUGAGUACAACGUGAAUCCUUUAACGAGGAUCGACUGGAGGGCAAGCCUGGUGCCAGCAGCCGCGGUAAUUCCAGCUCCAGUAGCGUAUAUUAAAGCUGUUGCGGUUAAAAAGCUCGUAGUUGGAUAUCAGUGCGUGUCCGGUCCGGCAUGCCCGGUGUGUUAUGGCGGCAACGCGAUGACCGCCGGGCUCCCAAAUGUCGGCCGGCCGCAUUCAAAUGUGUCGGAUCCGUCGACGGCCGUUCUUCGGACUGUCGUUGGCGACCGGCGGCGUUACCUUGAACAAAUUAGAGUGCUCAAAGCAGGCUCUCAAUGCCUGUAUACAUAUUCAUGGAAUUGGAGAAUACGUCCCUGGCUCGAUUUGGUUGGUUUUGAGAGUCGAAGGGAAAUGAUUAAUAGGGACUGACGGAGGCAUUCGUAUUGCGACGCGAGGGGUGAAAUCCUGUG
This 482-nucleotide ribosomal RNA is filed under the name Heteralepas sp. eL06i10_02. RNAcentral describes it as "SSU rRNA". It matches the Rfam family "Eukaryotic small subunit ribosomal RNA", at positions 477 to 923 of the family's 1831-position model. The record is from RNAcentral. Lineage: Eukaryota; Metazoa; Arthropoda; Thecostraca; Heteralepadidae.